AACCAGGCAGCAGUCUGGGUUUGGCCCACAUGGUUUAAGCCAUGAAAACAUUCAUUGUUUACUUAACAGAAAUCCCUGGCAAGAUCCCAGGACUGGCUGGGUAACUGUGACUCAGGCACCUCUGCAGUUUCCCGUCCUUCCUCCCCAGGCUCCAAGGUGGAAUGGACAGGAGGCUGAGAGGGACCCCAAUGUCCUCCUCGCUGCCCGGCACCCUGGCCUUGCACUCCAUGUGCCAUCCUCAGUGGCAAGAUGAAAAACCGAGGCUGAGAGAUGAAGAGGAGCCUCUACGGCCACAAGGCCCCUGCUCCACAUAAAUCUGACCCAUUUAUCCCUGGAAGAUACAGCAGCAGCCACCAAUCUGCGGCUGAAUGAACCAUGGUCCAAAGACAGGUCGGUAUGGUACAGUCAGAUAUGUCGAGAGAAAGGGAAAUCACAUUCACGUAACUUUGUUACAAUAUAUUGUCAUAAAUUGUUCUAUUUUAUGAUUAUUGUUAAUCUCUUACUGAGCCCAAUUUAUAAACUAAACUUCGUAUUAGGUAUGUAUGUGCAAAGGAAACAGCAACGUAGAGGCCUAUAGGCGCUAUUGUUAGGAUAUUUGUCCUGCAAACCGCAUGCUGAAAUUUGAUCCCCAGUGUUGGAGGUGGAGCCUAAUGGGAGGUGCUUGGGUCGUGGGGGCGGAUCCCUCAGGAAUAGAUUAAUGCCCUCCCCUGAGAGAGUGGGGAGUUCUUGCUCUGUCAGUUCCCUUGAGAGCUGGCUGUUUAAAAGAGCCUGGCACCUCUCCUCUCUCCCUCACCUCCUCUCUCGAGCGUGACUUCUGCACUCACCAGCUCCCUUCACCUUCUGCUGAGAGUGCAAGCAGCCCAUGGUCCUUACCACAUGCUGAUGCCCCAUCUGGACAUUUUCCAGCCAUCAGAAUCAUGAGCCAAAGAAGCCACUUUUCUUAAAUUGCCAGGCUUCUGUAUUCCUUUAGAGCAACACGAACAGACUCAGACAAUAAGGUUCGGUACUAUCUGAGGUUCCAGGCAUCCACUGGGGAGUCUUGGAACAUAUCCCCUGGGAAAGGGAGCUCUACUGUAUCAAGCCUUCCUUUGUCACCUUCCCAAAUAACUCUUUCCACGGGCACUUUCUCAAUUUUUGCCUAAUUUCCACAUAUACGAAUUGAGGCCCAGGCUGUGCGAGGCACUGAGAGGUUACCAUGAUGGAUUGACAGAGUUUCUCUCCUGGAAGAGGAGCUGGGGAAUUCUGCCUGGGAAGUGUCUGGGGACAGGGAGGGGACAGACAGCUAUUAAAGCUCAGGAGAAGCCAGAAAGGAGAUCGUGUCUGAGUUGGGGGCUGGAGGGAAGUGUAAUGAGAAUUCAGACCUGAGCAGAAAUGGAGGCAUCAUUGGAGAGGAGACGGAGCAAAUCCUGCAGUCAAAGCAGAGGCCGGGCUGGGAGGAAUCCAGAGGUGCUCAUGGGAAGGCAGCAUCGGUGCUGGGAGGAGUCGGAGCUGUUCUCCAGCCUCUGCUCCCCAACACGGUCCUGCCUCCCCAGUGCGUUCCUGCCUUGGUGCUGAGUGGCCUGCAGGCUCCUUGACAUUUGUCUUUCCACCAGGCACCUAGCAUCAUUCCUGGACUUCCAUCUAGUGAAUAAACGGGAACCAUCUUUCCUGUUACAAGCAUCCAUCAAAGGAUCUGAGCAGAGGAACGAUGUGGUCGGAUGGGAGCUUUAGGGAAGUAUCUUCACCAUCCGAUGAGAGAGAGAGGCUAGAAGGGACAAGGAAGGCAGAAGGUUGUAAAAAGGUGAGGGAACGGGCUUGGAGAGGAUCUAUGUGCAGCCCUCCGAAGAAGUGCUGGGCCUUUCUGACUUGGAAUCCCUGGUCCUUAUCAGGCCCACGUGUGGUGGGUAAAGAGGUCUCCUGCCAAGGUACCUUUCUUUGUUCCCAACUUCCCCUGCCUGGGCUUAAGUAGGGAAAUCCUUGGGUCCAUGAAAAGCAGCUGUAGUAAAGGUAGAGCUUCUCGUACACAUGACCCACCCAGCCUCCAGCCCCUCAGGAAAUGCCAUGUGUAAGGACACACAGGUGGACCAAGGCAGCCAGACUGGGUUCUUGCCCCUUUGUGUGGAGCUCUUUCAGGCACUGCCCUCUCCUGGGCAUCCCCUUUGCUGGCAGACCAGAAGCAGCUUCCGCAGGUGGCACUCUGCAAAAGGCUCGCUUUCCAUUCCUCAGCCCUCCUGUCAUCUGGCUGCUGCUGCUGCCUUCCUACCUUCUCACUUGCCCCUUCCUUAAUGCCCAUCUGUUUGUCUCUGUUUUUCUGCUCCACUGCUUAUACCCCAGACCCCAGCAUUGCUGGUUCAUUCCCUGGUGGUUCGAGUCCAAAGAGAUUGCCCACUCCCUAGGGAGUGGCUAGGGAGGCUCCUCUUUGCUUAUCCAGACCUGCAGAUGAGUGAAAAGCCACAGAGAAGAUUGCGUGGUUUGCAAACUAAGAAAAGAAGAGGUUGACCCCUAUUAAAUACACUGACUCUUAAAAACUACUCUAAUUUGGAAGCAAAAAAGGAACUAUCGAAGGAUCCUUAUUCCUCCCUGAGAAAUAUUGCUGUCUCCCACUGUUGCUCUGAAAGAACUAACUCAUUGGUAAAGGGCUUCCAAGCAAAUGUUAUGCAGGACCUGUCAGGAGCUUGGACUUCACCUGUUAAAGAGUGGACCACCAUUAGGAAGCAUGGCUUGCAAGCCGGGGAGGCAGGUGAUGGCUCUGGAACCCCUGGAACCCCAUGGUGACAUUCAUGGGAGCAGUACCUCCCCACAUGGGGAUGGGUUCUCCUGAGCAGGUGGACACUCCACGGCAGGGGCUUGCAGUCUGGUUUCCUAACCAUGUUCUCAAUGGGACAGAGUCCAAGUUUCAGAGUGCAGAAUCCUGACUCUGCCAGUUAGGACAGCCUGGAAAGCCCUGAGAGAAGCCUCAGGAAAAGUUGAUCUUCGUGGAAUAAAAUUAUUUUCCUGCACAUGGCCUCUGAGUAUCCAAGGGCCCCAACGCUCCUGGCAGCUUUCCGAGUGGGAGUGACUAUUCUUUAGAAAGAAUUGAUGCCAUGUAGUAACUGGCUCCCCAGCCUGAACACAAGAGCGGGAGGGAAGAGCUGAACAAUUACUCCAUUGAAAUCAUCUUCACGUGCACUGCAGUGUGGGAAGGUGGUUUGAUAAAGCCUGGCUAAUGGUAAAUCUCUGAAAGGAUUAAAGGGUUGAUUCAUUAAUAAUUACCUGCAGUACUAUUUGCGAUUCUGUUGCCCAAGACAACAUUCUUUGGGCAGCUUUCUUUUCACAGUCAUUAAGAAAUUAUUAAUAAUUGUGAUUUCGUGAGAAAUUAUUAAUGACUUCUUAAUGGAAGCGGAGAGAAAGCUGACCUAACAAAACUGUUGUCUUGAGCAGCAGAAUUGAAAAUAGCCUUGUAGUUAAUUAUUCUUAAAGUCAGUUAUAGAGAUACUCAUUUUUUCUUUAAGUAAAAUACAUAUUGUAGAAUAGACACCCAAGUAAUACGAUCUUGAAUUAUACAGCCAGGAUUUUUAAACACUUUAUUGUUGCUCCCAUAAAUUCCCCAACUACCAAAAUUUAUGCUGGGAAAAUUAAUCCUUCCUAUCUUGCUUUCUUGGGUCUCUAGAAUUCUCUUCCUUUCUGCCCUCAAAAGGAUGUGAUCUGCCACAUUUCCAAACACCCACUUCCCCUCUUGCAAUCUCUGUCUUGGUGGUUAUGUCCUUUCUGGAAUAUAAUUGUGGAUGAACUUGCUUUGCCAUCUCACUAAAUUAUUAUUCCCUGAGGGGCACUAGGGCUAGGACAUCUAUACUUUGUAUUAAACACUGUGUGGUUUAUCCACAACACACACUUGGUAAAUGUUUCUGAAAUGACUACUAAAGCCCCAAAUCAAAAUGUGGUCACUCCCAUGGUGUGCAAUGGAAAACUGGCCCUCAAAGAAGCCACACUGAGCAUCCAAGACCUGGGUACUACAGCCCCCAGUUGAAAUCUUAAUUUUAGUUCUCAUCCAAACUAUAAAGCUAGGAAGCUUUGGCUCCUUCCCUAAAGAAGCCACAUUUCCCGCUCAUUGCCAUGCGCCCUAAUUGGAAGGAGAACUCGCAUUUUUUUCCUGAAUCCAAAGUCCUAGUCUGGAAGUGGUGCUGUUCUCUACACCUUCGUCCAUGUCCUAUCCUCUCAGCCAGUUUCUCCUCCCUAAACCAAUGGACAUCUUGAGAGCUCAAGUUUUCAUGUUCCUGUGGGAAGUUUUUAGACAGACAAAAUUAGGAGAUGUGGGAUAUGGAGGACAGAAAAAGUUAGACGGAGGGUCAGUACGACUAUAAGAUCAAAUAAAGAAAGAUGCAGUUGGUGUUUUUAUUUUAAUUUUUUUCACCCUGGGAAUUGUUUGGUGUUUUUGUUUUUUGAGACAGGGUCUCUGUCAUCUGGGCUGGAGUGCAGUGGUGCCACCAUAGCUCACUGCAACCUCUGCUUCCCAGGCUCAAGCAAUCCUCUUACCUCAGACUCCAGAAGAUCUGGGACUACAAGACUCUUGCCACCACGCCUGGCUAAUUUUUGUAAUUUUUGUAGAGAAGAGGUUUCACCAUGUUACCUAGG
Chlorocebus sabaeus (green monkey) is the source of this 4590-nucleotide non-coding RNA. The record is from RefSeq and is a predicted model, not a curated record. NCBI's taxonomy places the organism in Eukaryota, Metazoa, Chordata, Mammalia, Primates, Cercopithecidae.